This 433-nucleotide ribosomal RNA is filed under the name uncultured bacterium. RNAcentral's name for it is "partial 16S ribosomal RNA". It matches the Rfam family "Bacterial small subunit ribosomal RNA", at positions 29 to 507 of the family's 1533-position model. The record is from RNAcentral.
AACGAACGCUGGCGGCAUGCCUAACACAUGCAAGUCGAACGAGACCUUCGGGUCUAGGGGCGCACGGGUGCGUAACGCGUGGGAACCUGCCCGUAGGUUCGGAAUAACUCCCCGUAAGGUGUGCUAAUACCGGAGAAUGUCUUCGGACCAAAGAUUUAUCGCCUUUGGAUGGGCGCGCGUUGGUUUAGCUAGUUGGUAGGGGAAAAGCAUACCAAGGCGACGUUCCAUAGCUGGUCUGAGAGGAUGAUAAUCCACAAUGGGACUGAGACACGGCCCAGACUCCUACGGGAGGGAGCAGUGGGGAAUAUUAGACACUGGGCGAAAGCCUGAUACAGCAAUGCCGCGUGAGUGAUGAAGGCCUUAGGGUUGUAAAGCUGUUUUACACGGGAUGAUAAUGACAGUAACGGGAGAAUAAGCUCCGGCUAACUCCGUG